This 1397-nucleotide long non-coding RNA is filed under the name Crocodylus porosus (Australian saltwater crocodile). RNAcentral describes it as "lncRNA (ENSCPRG00005016000.1)". Lineage: Eukaryota; Metazoa; Chordata; Crocodylia; Crocodylidae. The record is from RNAcentral.
AUGAGUUCUCAUAAGGCCUUUCUUCUUCCUUUUCUGAGCUGCAGGGAUUUAAACAGGUCAUACUUUAAGUCCAAGGGCCUGACCUGGUGCCCAGGAAAGCCAAUGGCAGCUUUUCCACUGAGUUUAGCAGGCUUUGGAUCUCGAAGUGCACAAAGGCACAAUUUUGGGGUGCCCUCCUCCUUUUUCAGCAGGAGCUGGCACUGGCUUUUAUAAAUCACCUUCUCCGCCGCUGGAUCUGCCCUGCCUCUCAGGAGCUGCUGCACACUCCGGAGUCAGUGUUGCCCUCUCAACUUCAACUACAGGAGAGCAGUAGCCAAUCCGAGGAGCGAAGCAGACUUGGUGUCUUCCAUCAAUUUCCCUAAGUGUCUCUGGUCCCUGCUAGGAGUAGCUAUAUCACUCCCUCUUCUUUCUCUCCAAUGACCUGAAGCACCAGCUCCGCAAGCUGUGAUCAAUCGGGCAUAAUGCAAUGCAGGGCAGCCCAGAAUUUGGUGAGCAUCCAAGGAUGUAUAUUUACUGAUGGGCUCAGGAGUGUGUCAGCAUUUAGUUUCAGUCUAGCUGCACCUUUCCUGCACCACCGAAUCACAAAGUCUCUGUCUCUGCAUCUGGAUUGGGACUGAUUCUACCCUGGGAUCCUCUGAAAAACCAAGAGCAUUCCCUUCUCCUUACUGCUGUGCCACAGAAAUCCACCAAGAUGUGCGACUGCUUUCAUCUAGUUCUUCCUACCUGGCCAGGAUCUCCAGCCAGUGGUGGGCUUACUUUUUCUAUACUUUGCUGUAUUGUGCUUCUGCUUUCUGUGCUCAGCUAGCUGCAAAUCCACCUCUGAAGCAAACCCUGCAGCUUCCAGGGUGUGGCUUUCUCUGAUGCUGCAUGAAUCAGAUACAGAGGAAUAGAGUUAAGAGAAGCCUGUAGUGAUUCAGCCUAAACUUUCCUCAAUGCCUGCAUUAUGCUAAAGCCAAGUGCAAAGGGCCCUCCAGCAUUGUGUAUAAUUAAGUGAAAUUCUUUCUAAUUUAGCUCUUUUCAGAAUGCAUGUUGUCAGAAGGUUGCCCUUCAUUUCUCAUAGCAAACAGAAAGUAACCAGCAGUAUGCCCUGCAUAACACAACUGAGCCUGCUUUACCUAUAGCUAAGAUGUAUUGUAUAGUAUGAAUUGAAUUUGUAUAUUUUAUAGUGGACUGAGCUUUGUAUUGAAUCUCAUGAGCAAGCAACAUAGUCCCCUAAAAAGUUCCUCUUAGUCUUUUCCUCCUGCCAGCAGAGAGAAGUCAGAAAUGUAAACUUCUUUUAAAAUGGAGAAAAAUACAUAAUCUUUAGUGGGAGAUAUUGCUGCAAGAGAACAGCAGAUGACUUAGUUGAAAGAUGUUAAAGUAUAAAGAAAAAUAAAAAUCCUAAUUCUCAGUUGUCA